RNAcentral lists this small RNA (105 nucleotides) under Psychromonas ingrahamii 37. RNAcentral's name for it is "t44 RNA". It matches the Rfam family "t44 RNA". From Rfam's summary of the family: This family consists of a number of bacterial RNA genes of between 135 and 170 bases in length. The t44 gene is found between the map and rpsB genes in all species in the full alignment apart from Shigella flexneri. The record is from Rfam by way of RNAcentral. Lineage: Bacteria; Pseudomonadati; Pseudomonadota; Gammaproteobacteria; Alteromonadales; Psychromonadaceae.
AAGACGUUCUUCAAAUAACACACACACGUCGACACGUCACUCGGGGUGCCUGAUUUCAAAUGAUUUGAAAUUCGGUCGAGUGUAUGGGAUGUGUGGAGGCCUAAC